CCGCGGGAGAGACCGCCACCGAUCCACGUGAUCGGGGGCCGGCGCCGAAGGAGCAACCGCCCCGGAAACUCUCAGGCAAACGGACCGCGGG
Molecule: non-coding RNA, 91 nt
Filed under: marine eukaryotic metagenome
Description: Glycine riboswitch
Rfam family: Glycine riboswitch aptamer
About the family: This family represents the bacterial glycine riboswitch.
Source: RNAcentral